CCCUACGGGACGCAGCAGUGAGGAAUAUUGGUCAAUGGGCUUACGCCUGAACCAGCCAAGUCGCGUGGGGGAAGACUGCCCUAUGGGUUGUAAACCUCUUUUGUCAGGGAGCAACGCCGGCUACGUGUAGCCGGACUGAGAGUACCUGAAGAAAAAGCAUCGGCUAACUCCGUGCCAGCAGCCGCGGUAAUACGUAGGGGGCAAGCGUUAUCCGGAAUCACUGGGUGUAAAGGGAGCGUAGACGGCUGUGCAAGCCUGAAGUGAAAGGCGGGGGCCCAACCCCUGGACUGCUUUGGGAACUGCAC
RNAcentral lists this ribosomal RNA (305 nucleotides) under uncultured bacterium. RNAcentral describes it as "bacterial SSU rRNA". It matches the Rfam family "Bacterial small subunit ribosomal RNA", at positions 337 to 638 of the family's 1533-position model. The record is from RNAcentral.